RNAcentral lists this ribosomal RNA (239 nucleotides) under uncultured bacterium. RNAcentral describes it as "partial 16S ribosomal RNA". It matches the Rfam family "Bacterial small subunit ribosomal RNA", at positions 100 to 334 of the family's 1533-position model. The record is from RNAcentral.
CCGGCACGGGUGAGUAACACGUAUCCAACCUGCCGUCUACUCUUGGCCAGCCUUCUGAAAGGAAGAUUAAUCCAGGAUGGGAUCAUGAGUUCACAUGUCCGCAUGAUUAAAGGUAUUUUCCGGUAGACGAUGGGGAUGCGUUCCAUUAGAUAGUAGGCGGGGUAACGGCCCACCUAGUCAACGAUGGAUAGGGGUUCUGAGAGGAAGGUCCCCCACAUUGGAGCUGAGACACGGUCCAA